CCGAAAUUUUUUUUCUCUUGAUGUCAUCGAUCUAUAUAGACGAAAAUCAGUUGGCCGAAUUCCUCAGUCCGAAAACCACCGCGCAGCAGAGCGGACGUAUGAGAAUCGCGCACCGCAGACUUCGAGUACCGGGCUCUCUAUCUCCUGGAUCCCGUGCUCCAGGUCCGUUACCUGGUGCAACUCGACUUCCAGGACAAGAGCUCCGUAGUUUCUACGCUCCAAGUCCGCUACCUGGUGGAAUUCAACUUCCAGGACAAGCGCUCCGUAGUUUCUGCGCUCAAGGUCAACUACAUGGUGAAACUUAACAUCCAGGACAUGCGCUCCGUGGUUCCUGCGCUACAGGUCCGCUACAUGGUGAAACUUGACUUCAGGGAGAGGACGAGGAGGAUGAGGAGGUUGAGGAAGACGGGGAGAACAAGGAGGAGAUCGUUGGAGGUGAUUUAAGCUGGUUGGCGGUCGUUAGAUUUGUGCACGGUAUAACCCGAGGUGGUUAUCGGUGGUUGUUCGAGGUGGUUGGCGGUGGUUGGAGGUCGUCGGAGGUGGACGAGGGGGAGGACAAGGAUUUUUGCUCGUAUUCGAGGUAUAACCCGGGGUGGUUAGCGGUGGUCGUUGGAG
Long non-coding RNA from Neodiprion virginianus, 615 nucleotides. RefSeq lists it as uncharacterized. The record is from RefSeq and is a predicted model, not a curated record. Lineage: Eukaryota; Metazoa; Arthropoda; Insecta; Hymenoptera; Diprionidae. The transcript has 3 exons.